Molecule: long non-coding RNA, 10476 nt
Filed under: Solanum lycopersicum (tomato)
Lineage: Eukaryota; Viridiplantae; Streptophyta; Magnoliopsida; Solanales; Solanaceae
Description: long non-coding RNA (SLYC_LNC000036)
Source: RNAcentral
UUUAUGUUCAUCUUUUCUAUCCCAAUUUUUUCAGAAAAAGUUACUCAAUAGUUGUUCAUCUUCUAGGAAGGCCUUGCAUUACCAAACGACCCGACCCCCUCGCGUUUCUUCUUCACACCAGCUAACCCAGAAAUCUCGGUGAACCAGCUGUCCUAAGAGAAAACUGAAAUCCAGCAAAAGUCGCGUCCAACAGUACGCCCUCUCUUUCAUUUUUCUCAAAUUCGGCCGGCUCCAGCUCCAAACGGCGCCAACAGUACGCCUGCAAUAACCGCGUCCCGUCCCCUUUUCUCCCCCUUUUGCGAAGUUUUCAGAUAAGGGAAUGACUCCCCUUUCCUUUUACUGUUGAUCUCGAAAAGGAGCAAAGAAAAAAUUCAAUCUCCUCUUUAAAAAAGUCCAACGGAUUUCCCCCAUCAAAUUUGAUCUCAAUUUUCUGUAAAUAGUCUCUUCUUCACUGUGCUGAGGAAGGGGGCAAGCAUAGUAAGAGGUUUUUUGUUUUUAGUGUUUGAAUUCCUGAGCAAUAGUCAUUUCUACACUUCAAAAUUUUCGAAUUUUCUUAGCUUGCCGUUAGUAGUUGAAGGGAGUGGUGGAAUUACUCUUCUCGUCGUCCUAGUAUCGUUGCUCCGAGAAAGGUGAUGUCCUUAUUCCUACCUCUCGUUUUCCUUUCAAAUGAUGUAUGUUCUAUUUUGUUUUCUGCCUAAAGGAUUAUUCUUUUGGACAGUUCAUUGUUGGUUUGUUUUUAGAUGAUAUAGUAUUUUGAGUUGUUUGUUGACAAAAUAUUACUAAUUAAGAUUGACUUUUUUCUUAUAUUGCUAUAGCUCAUGUAUUGUGAUUUGAAGCUAGUUCAUCAAGCUAUUUCUCACUGAUUGUUUCACAGUUCAUUCUUUCUUAAAAACAAAAAAAUAAAACAAAAUUGAACUUUGUGGCUUUGUGAUUUAAGCUUUAUCCUUUUUUCUUGUUGGCAUGAUCAAUAGUUCUUGUCGUCUUAGCAAUCAAAUGUAGCUAAAAUAGUGUUAAUCCUUCCAAAUGGUUAGUCUCAUAGUUCUGGUUUUUUCUUGGUUUAAACUCGUUUUGGUCUUAACAGGUUGCUAUCAUGUUUUUGUUGUACGCCUAAAGCUGCCGAGUCAAACAUAUUGUCGUGCUUGACUUGUCCUACCCAAACAUCCGUCCCUCUGUUUUUUGUUGUGGGCUGUUACUUGUUAUUGUCUUUAAAUCAUUGAAAUCUCAGAAUCCGCAAAAGUGGCAGUUGUAUGUCGUUUAUUAUGUUUUAUAGAUUUGAUGAUCACCUUCCCUCUUCAUCUAAGUCUUGUUACCAUCUUAUGGUCCAAUGUGCCAUGUUAGAAUUGAGUUUAUGUCUCUAUUUCAUUUAGAUUCUCGUCAAAAAUAUUUGCUACUAGUAGUGGACUUAAGGCCAAGGAAGAGAUUUUGCUGCCUUCCAAACCUUGGCUUGUUCCAGCACUCGCUUUCCUUUAACCAAAUGCCCAUCUGUGAGCUUUUGAAUUAGACGUCUAGCAUUUGGUUUAAUUUAGAUUAUUAGAUUGCCAAAUGCGAUAUUUGUUUAAAUAUGUGCUAAGUCUUUAUCAAUCCAGGUGUCUGAGCUUUACUUGAACUAUGUAUCUGAUUUGUUUUCUAGAAUAUGCAAUUUUUUACACCUACUGGUGUAUCUCUUUUGUGUUAUUAGAAAUCUGCAAAUUACCAUUUGUUUUAUUUUUCGUGCGUACAUGUAUGUGACUUCAAAUUUCUCUAGGCUUAGACUUUGAUAGUUUAGUGUUAUAAAUUCAUUUCUUCCAUCCAUGUUAUAAUGUUCUCCAUGUUUAGUUUCUUAGUACUGUUAAAAAUAAAAGGAACCACAAUUGUUUGUUUGAUACAAUAGCUGAUCAUUUCUUUUUCAAAGGCCAUGGAUGAAUUAGUCAACACUGACUUCGUUCAGUUAUAUAUGCAAGCAUGCUUAGUUUCUUAGUACUGUUAAAAUUAGAAGGAACCAUAAUUGUUUGUUUGAUACAAUAGCUAUUCAUUUCUUUUUCAAAGGCCAUGGAUGAAUUAGUCAACAGUGACUUUGUUCAAUGAUAUAGCAAGCAUGUUGUCAGUGUUUCCACGAAAUGCAAGAAAUGUUCUUUUCAUUUUUUGAAUACCAUCACUGUUGUUCCCUCUCUUCUUUGAUGUUGUCAUAAUUUGAAAAAUGUCAUAUUGCAUAUUUAUCACAGCCGCAAACAUCAAUCUUUGUCCUUCUUUUCUUGCAUGAAUUCCCUCGGUUUGAGUCCAUUGGACUCCCUUUGUUACUCUCCUUGCAUCUCGGGUUGGGUAGAAACCCAAUGAUUCCUCCAUCGAGUCAGCAACCUUUCUAUAUGAGCGUGGAAAUGAAAACAGGUUUGGGAAGUCCAAAAUGGGCAGUACGCAUGCUAUAUACAUCAGUAUACACUAGUAUACACCACGGAAAUAUUGAUAUGCAGGUCAAAAUGCAACAAAUACUAGUAAAAAACGAAGAUACAGGUUGGAGGCGUCAAGGUGGACUGUAUACAGUCGAUAUAUGGGUUGGUAUGUAGGUCAAAAUGCAACAAAUACUAGGUAGAAACGAAGAUACUGGGUGGAGGCAUCAAGGUGGACUGUAUACAGUCGAUGUAUGGGUUAAUAUGUAGGAAAUGAUGCUGAUAUGCGAGCUGUAUACACUGAUAUACAGUUUGUGUAUACAAAAAUGGGUUUUGGGUUAAACCCGAAAAGUAGUAGCAAAUUUGGCCAAGAAAAGCCCAAAUUCAUCUUCUCCUUUAUUUCUCUUAGCUUACUUAAUUGUGACUAUUUAUUGCUUUGUGUUUUUGGUUAACUCUAACUUUAAAUAACUUACUUAAAUUUUUAAAAGAUGAACUGUAUUUUUUAUGUUGGUUUAUUUUGAUAUAGUUUACUUUUAUCAACUCUUACAUUUUUAUUCAAUAUAUUUAACCAAAACCUUUUAUUUAUUUUUCAAAUAAUUUAAAAUGAUUUUCAUGCUCAAAUUAACUAGUUUAAAUUAUUUUUUUACAAAUGAGUCAAGUAAAUUUAAUAAAUUUUAGUUUUAUUAAAAUUCUAGUCACUUGCAUUUCAAUUCAAAUGCUUCAACUAAGUACCAAUUUUAUAUUCUUUUAACUAUUUUCUCAAGUUAAUCAAAUAUUUUAAAUUAAUAUAAUUAUGUUCGUAUCAAUCAUUUUCCUAAAAAAUAGUCAAAAAAAUUUUAACCUAAGUCGUACGAUAAUUGCAUGUUAGCGGACGUUUCAAAUACCUUAAAAACCUUCUUGAAGCGUAAAUAAAAAUCUCUUACCCAUUUUCUCUAAAUUUAUUAAGAUUUAGUCUGUUAAAAUCUUUUUAAGUUAAGUUUUCUUAAUUUCUUUUUUUAAAAAAAAUAAGUGGGGAUCUGCUCGUGGAAUAGAAAAAGUUUGUUGCAUCAACAAAGUGUAUUAGUCAAAAAGGCUUACUUAAGCUAAUCGAUGUGUAUUCCUAGGCUGUGAAAGAGAGGGCGGACCAUUGAAUUAGAACAUCCAUAUCUUGUUCUAAAAGUUGUCUUUGAAAUAUUAUAUUCUCUAACUUUCAACUGAUGGUAGCAUGAUCUAAGAUCAAUUUUUGAGAAGUAGGAAGCAAAGGUGGUCGAAAAGACCAUCAAUCCUUCGAAUAUGAUAUUUAUUCUUGAUAAACCUUGUUCAAUUGGUGGUAAUCUAUACACAUUCUAAGGGAACCAUCUUUUUUUUCUCACAAUUAAGACAGGAGCACCCCAAGGUGAGACACUUGGUCGAAUGAAACCCUUGUCUAACAAAUCUUUCAACUGUUCUUUCAACUCUUUCAAAUCUGAUGGUGCCAUUAUAUAUGGCGGAAUAGAGAUAGGACGAAUAUAUGGAAUAAUGUCUGUCGAAGUCUAUUUAUCUCUUCAGGAGGGACUUCGGGUAGAUCAUCAAGAAAGACUUAUGAAAACUCUUUUAUUAUAGAAAUUGACUAAAUGGGAGGUACCUCAACACUUGAGUCAUUACUCAGACUAAGUGAUAAAUACAACACUUAAAAACUAACUUUCUUUCCUUGAGGUACGAAAUGGAAUGACCCAUAGGCACUGCUGAAAUGAUUUUCCACUCUAUAACUGGUUCACUAGAAAACUGGAGCUUGACUACUUGAGUGCUUAUCUAUUGAUGCAUAAUAGGCAUUAUGUCAGUCCAUACCUAGAAUGACAUCAAACUCUACCAUGUCUAACUAUACUAAGUCAUCCAUGAUAUUCUUGUGAUUUAUGAGAAAUGGUACAAUUAUGAUUGACUCUUUCAGCUAGAAAAGAAUUCUCAAGAUAAGUAAAAACACUAAAGGGAUCAUAAAGUUACUCAUGAAAAACAUCAAAACUGAAGACUUGGAUCAUGUGACAAUAUCUGGGGAAUCCUAUUGCUCUCAGUGACUAGUGAUAGCAUAAAAAUGGUUUCCUUCUCCGUCUACACCUGAAGUAGCUUAUCCAGAUGCAACUCUUAUUUGGUGAAGAAACUGAAGUGUACUGGGUUGUAUUGCCCUCUUUAUCAUUUCUUUGUCUGUACUUAGGAAAUUCUCUUAUAAAAUCCCAAUUUUGGCUACAUUUUAAGCAAUCAAUGAAUCCAUCACGACACACCCCUGAAUGACUUCUACCACAGUGGGAACAUGCAAGAGUCUAAGUACCACCUUGCAGUAAGCUGGUCUAGAUCUAUCAAUUUUGAGAAUCUUGAGUAUUGUACACACAAUGGUUCCUUGAUGCAGGUGCACUAGAAGAUGAAAAAAUAGAUCCUUUCAAUUUACGUUAGAAAGAAGACCAGUUCACGUACCUUUUUUUUUUACCCAAACUCAUUCCUUGAUGUGUUAUCCCUCAGCUUGUCCUCCUCAACUUGUUGAACAUGGAUCAUUAGCCUUGCUAUGCUCAUGACAGCUACUAGUAUGGUUGUCCUACUUUCCUUGCUUGAUAGACGAGGCAACCCAAUAACAACAAAGCUCAUUUUAGUCCUCAUGUCGACAACAAUAUCUUAGUUUUUCUUAGAUCAUAUAAAAAAGAAACGCCUCAAAAAGGCGGCCUCAACAAUUACCAGCUCAGAAACGCCUCUAACGCACGAAAAGAGUGUGAAAAAAGUGAGAUAGUUCUUAUAUGUUGCAGCCUCCUUGUUAGGACCCUCAAAACGAUCUAGGAUAAUCUAGAGUUCCAGAUGUGCCUUAAGAGUUUAUAACUCCUUUACAAGGCGUGUAACAGCUUGUAAUGGUUGGUUUGAUGAGGUUUGAGGUCCAACGUCAAAGAACGACCAAGACGUCUGAAAACUAGUCGUUUGUAUAGCUAGUGUGCCUUUGUAUGUUUGUCUUGUGUUGGAGUGUUGUUUGAAGUCUAAAAUGAUAGGGGGUAUCCUAAUAAGCAUAUGGUUGUGUUUAGGAUCGAAACGUUUGGGCACAACUCCCCAAGAACCACCCUCACAGUCCUUGGGGAGGACCCAAAGGUUGGCAAAAAUCGGCCAAGGAAAUGUCACCACGACUAUGAUCGAUGACUAGUGGUUUGAAUGAUGCCCUGUCGUUAGGGGGGCGUCUCCACUUAGUUGGGAGCUUAGCCCCCAAAUGAGGGAAUUUUUAUCACAAACGAUGAAGUGCAGGAUUGUAACACUUCGGAAGUCUAAGACGUAUUCUAGAGCCUAACAUGAGUGUCACAGGGUUUAGAUAUUGUUUUAAGGUUAAUUUUAAUGUACAUAAAUCAUUUAGGAAGUCUAGGAAUCAAAACGUCGAAGAAUGUCCAUGACGUCUGGAAACUAGUUCAAUGAGGUGUUAGUGUGCCUUAUCAUAUUUGACAUGCUUUUUGGAGUCAAAAAAUGAUGAAAAUUGGUGGAAGGGUAUCUAAUACAUGUUAGAGUUAGUUCAUAGUCAAAAUGUUUGGGCACAACUCCCCAAGGACCAAUCAAGGGCCCUUGAGGAGAACCCUUGCGAUUUGGCAAGAGGCUGCCAAAAGGCAGUGUUCAUAGACGGUUGUCAUCAACGAAUCGUGUGUCAAUCAUCUGGGGGUCGAUUGCCUAUGUUGACGGACACUUAGAAAAAUUGUCUAAGGCCUGUUUUGGACUAGUCUCUGAACUCAACAACGAACCAACAUGACAGUUGGUCCUUGGCCUGUCGAUUGACAAAUAGGGCAUCGGUCGGGGUUCCGUCUGUGAGGUUUGUGUUUUGCUGCACGUUUUGACUUGAUUCAUUUAAUUAGUUGGCUUAGUUAGGAGGUUAAUUAGGGGUUAGGGGAGGUCUAAUUAAAUUUGUUAAUGACCUAUAUAAAGACCCUAAGAUAAUUAGACUAACCUAAGAUCUCAUAAUUCUCAAACCCAAAACUCUCUUCUUUCUCUCUCCCAAACAAACCCCAUUGAAUACCAAGUUAGAGGUGGGUUCAAGGGCUGCAAAGGGUCAAGUUUCUCCAUCAAUCUUCAUCAAAAACUAAGGUAUGAGAUUCCUUUCACCUUUGAGACUUCUUUCCUCAAAGGGUUCCAUCAAAUUGAUUUCCAAAAUAUGACGGAUCCCCACUUGCCUAAGGUAGGGUCCUUCUUGAGACAUCACAUGGGGUUUCCAAUAACUACUCCUAUGCGGACACAUAGUUAAGGUAUAAGGAGAUUUCUUCUAAGUGACUCAUUUAUCUUCUAACGAGGAGCAUUUAUAACAACCCAAAAAAAUGAAAUGGGUCAAACUAGAGCUUAACAUGUGUUCCAUGAGUUAACAGUGUAUUAAAAUAUUUAAUUUUAGCAUUAGAAGUUAGUUCGUAAAGUUUGGGAUCAUUUGGAAGUCAAACGCCUAAGACGUUCGAAAACUAGUUGAAGUUGAACUAGUGUGUCGUCGUGUUUUUGGUGAAGUUUUGGGGGAUGGUUUGAGAGUGAUAUUGAGUGUCAAUGGUUCCUAUGUAUAGAGGGAUGUAACAAGUGUCAAAACGUCCGAGUACAACUCCUCGGGGACCACUCAAAGGGCCCCCAAGGAGGACCCAAACAUGGGUCAAGAUGCUGCCCAAGGCAGCGUACAGGGGCAGGAUAUGAAGCCCAACCUUGCGACGUUCCCUUGACACGAGGUCUACUUCCUCAGAAUUUUUGAAAGGCAAAAAUCAAGAUCUUGCCUCGCGAUGCGCAGCCAAGUCCCAGAUUUGGCCGCGACGUUUUUAAGUAAAAUUUCAAGUUUGGAAAGGGUCCAAAUGGUGUGGGUGUAUUUUGGGGACUUUGGGGAUCAUUUGUGUACUGAUUUAGGCAAUUUUAAACCUAAUUUCACCUAUCAUUUCCAACCCUAAAGAUCAAAUUAAAUUUCUCCAAAACCUUCUCUCCAAAAACCUCCAUUGAAGAAGCUUCAAGCUCCAAGGAAGAGGACCAACUUCUUCACGUUUUCUUCACCAAAUUUUUGUGGGUUUAUUCAUAUUAAGGUAUAGUAGUCAUCCUUGAACCUUCUUUCAUUCAAGGAGCCACUUCAAAGAGAUUUCAAAAAGGAUUUCAACUUGAAACUUCUUUAUUCCUUGACUCUAAGUAUGGGUCUUUGCAUGAAAAUGUUUUAUUGAUUAAAAUGAGUUUUCCUAGUUAUAAAUGAUGAUUUUAAUGAGAAAACCCCAAUGGAAUCAUGUCUGGAUUAUGAAAUGGGUUCUAUGAUCAUGAGUAGAUAAUGUUAAAGUUAUUGUUUCUUGGUGUUUUUAUUGAGUUUUAGAUGUUGCCCUAAAGGGGGCUAUUUUAUGAUGGAUUAUCGGAUAAAUUGUGUAUAGGUGGUGAAAUCUUGGAUGAAUGGUAAGUUGGCUAUGCUUUUUAAUCCUUAUUUUUUAAUUAACUCUUGAGUGGUAUGGUCAAACUUUGGAGGUGGUGUUUACUUGAAAUAUAUGAAGUUAUAUGUGUAUUGUGAGAAUGACCUUGGAAGCAUCAUAUGUGAAGUGAAAUGAUAAUUUUGAUAUGUAUAUGUAUGAUGAUGUGUAAAUUAUGAUAAAUGUGAGUUGAGCAUGUCUAGAAUUCAAUGUUAUGAAUAGUGGUCAUUAUGUGAAAGAUGUGCUCACAUGUGGUCACAGACACACUUGAAUGCAUGAAUAAAGUCAAUGAAUGAAAAUGGGGGAUUGUAGGGUGAACACUCUUUGUGAGUAGAGAUGAAGAGUCUAGACCAUCCCUACUAUUCCUAAGUAUGAAAAAGGGGUAUUUUGGGGUGAACACUCUUUGUGAGUAGAGAUGAAGUGUUUAGUAGAAACCUCAUUAUUCCUAAUGAACUUUCCAAGAUAGGUCGGAGGUUGGAUACCCUUCGUGAGUUGAAAUGGGGUGUUCAAUAGUUAUCUCCUAACCUAUAGUCAAUGAAUGUUUAAGACUCCAUGGGGAGUUAUGCUUAGCACCGAGAGUAUUUGAAGAAGGGGUGGGUACACUUCGUGAGUAAAGAGGUUCUGUUCAAUGUACCUCUUGAUAUAUGUGCUUCUCAUUAGUAGAGAGUGAGUUACCUAGUAACAAUCUUUUUAUACCUUAAAUAUGUGUCUGCGCAGGUGUAGGUAUUGGAGAACCCAUGUAAAAGCUAAAGAAUAUGACCCUGCCUUAGGCAAGUAGGGAUCCCUCAUCCGAUUAGGAUAUACCGGGAUUCCAUGUCAAGCUCUCAUCGUCUAUGUCGGUUAAAGCUAUCCCCCACAAAUGUAUCCAAAUGAACUAAGUCUUCUUAAGGGUGUACUACUUAGGGUAGAAGGUGGAAUGAGACGCUACAUAUCCAUUGCACAAGUAUGCAUUUGGAGGGAGUCUUGGUAUGUCCUUAUAUGAAAUGUAUGAAUGGGUCAUGAUAUGAUGUAAAUGAAAGUAAUGUGACUUAUGUUAAAUGUUAAGAAAGCAUGUUGAUGUUAAGACUUGUAUGAUGAAAGCUUAGUAUGUGAUGAAUGUGAUGUGCCUAUUCUAAGGUUAUUCCUAAGGAGCAUUAAGUGGAAGUGGUAGUAUGGGAUGAUGCUUUCACAUUGCACCAAGUGUAAAUUGGGGGUUUCCUUGGAAGAUGGUUCUUAUGUGAAGUUCCUAAGUGUAUGUAUGUUUCUAUAGUGCCUUUAGUAUUGAAUGUUGACUUGCUAAGUGAAAUGAAGUAUGAUUGUCCUUGGUAGUCUUAAGGAUCACUUGGGUGUGUGGUGAAGAGAUUGUAUGAGCAAUCUCCUCAUGUCUUAACUAAGCGGGUCUUAGGAUAACUUGGGAUAGGAAGAAUUAUGUGUUAAGUGGGUUCACUGUAAGUAUGCUUUUAUGUUGAGAAAAAUGGAUGUUUUACUUUAUGUGCUAAUGAUGGUUUUAAAUGAUGUCUUGUAACUUAAUUCAUGAAGCUUUUUACCAAAAUAGCAUGACUUGUAUGUUUAUACUAAAUGUCCCUUUUUGCAUGAUUUUUCAUAUGUCAUACUUAGUAAAUUGUUUGUACUAACCCCAUACUCUUCUAUACUUUAUAGGUUGGAGCCGAGUUGAAGGGUAGAAGGCAAGUUUGGGAAUCGACUCUCUCAAGACUAAAUAUGUCCUCAUAUAUUCGAAGGCAUAGUCUUUGUUUCUUUAGUUUCUUCUUUUAAGGCUUGUUAAGAUUUAUUAUGUAUUUAUUUCAAUGUGAAAAGGUUGUGUCCCUAAGAUAUUUAUGUCUUGUCUUUAAGUUGGCUUGUGAUGACGAGACAUAUUUCUUAGCUUUUAUAAAAAAAGUUUCUUAUUAUUAUUGUUGUGAAAAUUUUAGAUUUCUGCAUUACUUUUCAUGUCUUAUGUAAUGAAUGAUAGCGAAGAGGCUUGUGCAAGACCAUUGAAAGGCUGAUCACGCCUUGUUUCGACCUAAAGGUUGUCCUAACUUCUAGUGUGUACUUGGAGGUUUUUACAACACCCAUCUCAAGAGGUAUAUUGGAUACAUCAUCUCUAAUCACGAAGUGUAACCACCCCUUCUUCAAAUCCUCUCGGUGGUAAGCAUAACUCCCCCACGGAAUCUUAAACAUUCAUUACUAAAGGUUAAGGGUAACUAUUGGACACCAAAUCUGAACUCACGAAGGGUAUCCAUCCUCCAACCUUAUUUAGAAAGCUCUUGGGAAUAGUAGGGGUUGCUACUAAACACUUGAUCUCAACUCACGAAGAGUGUCCACCCCAAAACUCCUAUUUUCAUACUAUAGGGAUAGUAGGGAUGGUCUAGACACUUAAUCUCUACUUACAAAGAGUGUCCACCCUAAAAUCCCUCAUUCACAUUAAUUAACUUCAUUCAUUCAUUCAAAGUGUGUGUGUGUGUGUGAAUACAUGUGAGCACAUCAUCCACAUAAUCACCAUUUUCAUAGUAUUGACUCCUAAACAUGCUCAUACCUCCCUUCAUCAUAUAUCACACACUAUCAUGCUUCACAUAUGCAUAUACUUCAUUCAGACAUAAUCUCUACAAACUAUACAUUCAAGUUUCAUAAAGCAAAUCAACAAGAACAUCAUCACUAUCACUUUGCUUUACAUAUUAAGCCUUCAAGGCCAUACUCACACUACACAUAUAAAUACAUAUUCAUAUACUCCAAAUAAACACCGCCACCAAAGGUGGAUCAUACCACUC